This 257-nucleotide unclassified non-coding RNA is filed under the name uncultured fungus. Its description in RNAcentral is "sequence contains ITS2". The stretch from base 1 to 52 matches the Rfam family "5.8S ribosomal RNA", at positions 103 to 154 of the family's 154-position model. Lineage: Eukaryota; Fungi. The record is from RNAcentral.
AACGCACAUUGCGCCCGCCAGUAUUCUGGCGGGCAUGCCUGUCUGAGCGUCAUUUCAACCCUCAUGCCCCAGCGGCGUGGUGUUGGGGAUCGGCCUGAGCAUCGGCUCGGGCCGUCCCCUAAAUAUAGUGGCGGACCCGCUGUGGCCUCCUCUGCGUAGUAGUGAUAUUUCGCACUGGAAAGCAGCGAGCCCCUGCCGUAAAACCCCAACUUCUCAAGGUUGACCUCAGAUCAGGUAGGAAUACCCGCUGAACUUAA